CACCUGCUUCUGGGCCAGAGACAUCAUGUGCUUUUCAUUACCAUCAUUAGUCAUUGUCAGUACAUCUUGUUACAAGAGCAAAGCAUAAAAGAUCAAGACUGCUGGCCCCCCUGUAAUAAUGUAGUGUAUACUGAAGACUUUUAUGUAUUUUGCAUAGGUAUAGGACUGAGUGAAAUGCUUAGACAGUAUCUGAGAUGUUAGUUAUUUUUAGCUGUCCUAGUGUAGUUAUUUAGAAUUAAAACUUUCUUGUUGCUGUCACUGUGGUAAGUCUUUGUAGGAAGGCACGUAGUACCCUCAGCAGUGAGCUCCUCUCCUUCUGACCUGGUAGUGUAUCCCUGUGCAGUUUCCUGCAGGAUCUGUAAUGUAAUCCUAUAGUACAAGUAGUGCUUCCUUGUGUAAAUACAAACCUGACAACUUUUGGAUGAACCUCUAGAUGAUAUCAUACUAUCACUAUAACAUAGCUCCUGCUACCAGUCCCUUGCACAGGUUGCUGGUGGAAGGAGUUAUACUCCUGAAAUCUGCUACCUUAUCAGUUUAUGUUGUAUUUCCUUCUACCCUCUCCUGUACCUAACUCUAGUGCUUCCUUUUUCAGUUCUGCUAUCCUGCAGCUGUUCUGCAUCCCCUGUGAAGGCAGAGAGGGGCUGACAGUCACCAUGUUCUCCCAUUUGGUGGGCUGCAGUCAGGAAAAAGUGGAGCCUGCUCUACCUAAUGACCUACAAAACCCUCCCCUGUUCAUGACAAAAUCUAAACCUGUGCUUCAGUACUUCUGGUUGCAUGGCCAAGGAAGGUCCUCUUGGAGCUGUUCUUUUCCAUGUGUUGUGACUGCAUCACCAACAACUCCUCUCAAGGGGCUUGGAAACGGGGAGGCAGGAGUCAGAAACAUCCACUUUGACUUCAGCCUGGCUCUGUCAGUAACAGACCUAAUUAUGGGGCCACUCUCAUGUGUGUAAGCUGAAGACAAAGGAGACACAUUUCACAUCCACUGACAAGCACCAGAGCUUCAUCACACAGGCCUUGGAGUGCUAAGUGUUACGUUGCCUCUAUUUUUAGAGCAUGCUCCCUUUCUUGUUACUAGGUUAGGUGUUCACCUGCAGAAAGUAAACUGCUGUUUCAUAGCUUUGGUUAUUAAUAGAAGGACUUGGAAAGUAGACAUAAGCAGGUUACUAGGUUGAUACGAUUGCUGGAUUGCAGUACUUGUGAAACAGAUGACCUCUUUCAAUUGCUAUACAAAUGUAUUUUGCCAUAGCGUUGGAGUCUUAUGCAAGGGUUUCUAAUGACAUUUAGUGUGAAAGGUGCCAGAGCAGACCAAAAGUAAAGUGAAAGUGGGGUUUCAGCAAUGAGCCCUGCUGCUGGGUUCCUGCUGUGCAAGCCCUCCACCUGUGCACCCUGGAUUCAGCAGCAGCAGCAGCUCUUGCUCUUUGUUAAAUGCCUUUGUCUGGAAAUCCUACACUUGUAGAACAUAAGCAUUACUCAUGACAGAAUCCCGGUGUGAAGAAUGGUAAGUCUGCUAAAUAAUGAUGCUCUGAACUUGAAGGGUCAUAAUAGAACAUUUUUAUAAAUGCAUAAAAAUAUAAAAGAAGAGAAAAUAAGGGAGCUUUUUCGGGUUAGAGAAGGAAUCCUGCAUUACACUAUCUGAGACAGCAAUGGCACUGCUUCGCUAUAUGAGAGAGACAGGAUGAGAUUAGUGUUACCAUUUCUAUGCCUCUGUUUGGGCAGAAAAUCAUUUCACACAGUUAGAGCUUCCCUUGUGAGCCAGUUCAAGGAAUAGGUUCAAUUAUUAGCUAAAACUACACACCCACUCUCAGUAGUGUAUGCAAGGGCUGCAUAUAGUGCAACACAAAACAGAAGUCUUGACUGGAUCUGUAAACAGAACAAGAACUUGGGGCUAUCAAAAAAUGUGAAUAUCUGCUCUAAAUGAAAGGUACAAUUCUUUGCCUCCUCAUGCAACAC
Molecule: long non-coding RNA, 1950 nt
Filed under: Anas platyrhynchos platyrhynchos (common mallard)
Lineage: Eukaryota; Metazoa; Chordata; Aves; Anseriformes; Anatidae
Description: lncRNA (ENSAPLG00000027902.1)
Source: RNAcentral